AUUGAACGCUGGCGGCAUGCUUUACACAUGCAAGUCGAGCGGCAGCGCGGGGGCAACCCUGGCGGCGAGCGGCGAACGGGUGAGUAAUGCAUCGGAACGUAUCCUCGAGUGGGGGAUAACCCAGCGAAAGUUGGGCUAAUACCGCAUGAGCUCUGAGGAGGAAAGCGGGGGACCUGCGAGGGCCUCGCGCUGGAGGAGCGGCCGAUGUCCGAUUAGCUAGUUGGUGGGGUAAAGGCUUACCAAGGCGACGAUCGGUAGCUGGUCUGAGAGGAUGAUCAGCCACACUGGGACUGAGAAACGGCCCAGACUCCUACGGGAGGCAGCAGUGGGGAAUUUUGGACAAUGGGGGCAACCCUGAUCCAGCCAUGCCGCGUGAGUGAAGAAGGCCUUCGGGUUGUAAAGCUCUUUCGGACGGAACGAAAUGGGCGGGACUAAUACUCCUGUCUGAUGACGGUACCGUAAGAAGAAGCACCGGCUAACUACGUG
RNAcentral lists this ribosomal RNA (486 nucleotides) under uncultured bacterium. RNAcentral describes it as "partial 16S ribosomal RNA". It matches the Rfam family "Bacterial small subunit ribosomal RNA", at positions 29 to 507 of the family's 1533-position model. The record is from RNAcentral.